This 253-nucleotide ribosomal RNA is filed under the name uncultured organism. Its description in RNAcentral is "partial 16S ribosomal RNA". It matches the Rfam family "Bacterial small subunit ribosomal RNA", at positions 524 to 776 of the family's 1533-position model. The record is from RNAcentral.
UACAGAGGGUGCAAGCGUUAAUCGGAAUUACUGGGCGUAAAGCGUGCGUAGGUGGUUCGGUAAGUCAGAUGUGAAAGCCCUGGGCUUAACCUGGGAAUUGCGUUUGAUACUGUCGGACUAGAGUUUGGUAGGGGGAAGCGGAAUUCCUAGUGUAGAGGUGAAAUUCGUAGAUAUUAGGAAGAACACCAACGGCGAAGGCAGCGAUCUGGGCCGGUACUGACGCUGAGGAGCGAAAGCGUGGGGAGCAAACAGG